GAUGAAGAACGCAGCGAAAUGCGAUACGUAGUGUGAAUUGCAGAAUUCAGUGAAUCAUCGAAUUUUUGAACGCGCAUUGCAGCUCUCGGUAUUCCGGGAGGUAUGCCUGUUCGAGCGUCAUUUGUACCCUCAAGCUCUGCUUGGUGUUGGGUGUUUGUUCCGCCUCUGUGUGUGAACUCGCCUCAAAACAAUUGGCAGCCGGCGUACUUGUUUCGGAGCGCAGCACAUUUUGCGAUCCAGAUCAACGUACAGCGGCAUCCAAGAAGCCUUAUUUAACGCUCUUGACCUCGGAUCAGGUAGGGAUACCCGCUGAACUUAAGCAUAUCAAUAAGCGGAGGA
Molecule: unclassified non-coding RNA, 339 nt
Filed under: soil metagenome
Description: partial contains 5.8S ribosomal RNA, internal transcribed spacer 2, and large subunit ribosomal RNA
Rfam family: 5.8S ribosomal RNA (bases 1-120)
Source: RNAcentral